AAGCCCGGCUCCUCAGGGGACUGCCUCUUUCCCUCCAACAGGCCCCACCCCCUACCCAGGUCCAACCCCUAGCGCUUCACCAAGCCCCUUCCAGCCAGUUCGAACCGCCUUCCGCUGGCCCCUCCUCCUUCUCGCCGCCAUUGGCACCGACCAAUCCCUUCCGCUCCACCCACCGGGUGCAGCCCCUUUCUCAAACUCCGCCCUUGCCUGGAGCCUCCAAAUUCCUGACAACCGCAGAUGUUCAUGAACUAAGGUGGCUGAAGCCUCUCAGCUGUUGCUGACCCACAGUGAGCACUCAGUUAAAGGUGCUGCUUUCUGUUAGGAGCUGCUGGAAAGCCUCGGCCAGCUGUGGUGAGCCACUUAACCUGUCUGGUUUAGGAUGUCACCUGACUGCUCCCGUGUAAAGGUUUGUUAAAUGGAAGUACAGGUUCCAUGUUCAGGGAAGCAGUUCACCCUGGUGAGUAGAUGCCUUGCGGUUUCGAGUCUGGAUACCAUCCUUCCUCAUGGUCAGUGGUCGGUUCACCUGCCAAGAGGGAGGCCAUGGCUGUUUCCCAGCUCCACAUCUUGCUCUAUGACUCCUCCAGGGAUGACCAAUUCACCCCACUUCUAAGAAGAGAGAACUUAUUCAAGGAUUAGGGAAUGUGCCCCUGAUAUGACAAGAAUCCUGAAGUUUUCAGGCUGUGACCAGAAGAACUGCUGGCGUUUGAGUGACUCCAGUGUUCUGAGCCCUAGUGGUUGCUCUGUCCCCUGACCUCCAACCAUUUCCAAAUGAGCUUUGAGGAUGACUUGUUGGGAUUUGGAACCACAUAUAUUACCUGGAAACUCCAGCCACUGUCUACUUCCAUCAUUGCUUCCCGGUCAACCUCUGAGCCUCAGUUUCUUUGCUUGGAAAAUGGGUAUAAUCAUGGAACCCACCUCAAAUGUUGUUGAGAGGCCACUCAACACAGGGCCUGCCUGCACAUCAUAAAUGAAGCCUUCCCUGACUGGUUCCCUCCCUCCUGGCAUCUUCUGGGGCUCCAGAGCUUGGUCUAAGCCCAUGGCAUUUGGACUAUUCUUGUCUCUUCCAGACUGUGGAGUCCAUCAGGGCUGGGACGAGCCUGACUCCCCUCCGUGUCAGUAGCACCUGGAGAAGCGUCAACCAAAGUCGACUAAGGAAUCAGAUGUUUGCCUUAAAACCACACUAUUUUGUUUUUAAGAGAAAACUAUAAAAGAUACUAUAACAAGCACUCACCUUUGUCAAAUGUUAAUAUUUUGCCCUAUUUACUUCAGGUCUUUUUUAAAAGAAAUAUAUUACAGAUACAGUUGAUACCCUUGCACCAAUUUAAUUUCACUUCCCCCUCUCCUUCCACUACCUUGAAUUUGGUGUUUAUCUUUCUCAUUAAUGUUUUGAUGUUUUACAUUGCAUUACUGCGUAUGUAUGUACCCAUGAACAACAAAUGAUACUUGGGAGUUUUGGCCUGUUUUUGACCUUCAUACAAAUUAAAUCAUAUAGUAUGUGCUUAUUUUGCUCAGCAUAAUAUCUGUGAGAUUCAUCCAAGUUGUUGUAUAGCUCAUUUUUUUUAUUGAGAUGUAAUUCACAUACCACAAAAUUCACCCUUUAAAGUAUACAUUUCAGUGGUAAGUAAAUUCACAAGGUGGUACAACUGUUAACCACUUUCUGAUUCCAGAACAUUUUCAUCAUCCCAUAAAGAAACCUUGUGCCCAUUAGUAGCCAUUUCCCUUUCCAUUUCCCCCUCCCCACAGCCCCUGGCAACCACUAAUCUACUUUAUAUCUCUAUGGAGUUGCCUGUUAUGGACAUCUCAUAUAAAUUGAAUCAUACAACAUGUGGGCUUUUGUGACUGGCUUCUUUUACUUCACAUAAAGUUUUCAAGGUUCGUUAAUAUUGUAGCAGAGAAGGCAAUGGCAACCCACUCCAGUACUCUUGCCUGGAAAAUCCCAUGGACGGAGGAGCCUGGUAGGCUGCAGUCCAUGGGGUCGCGAAGAGUCGGACACGACUGAGCGACUUCACUUUCACUUUUCACUUUCAUGCAUUGGAGAAGGAAAUGGCAACUCACUCCAGUGUUCUUGCCUGGAGAAUCCCAGGGAUGGUGGAGCCUGGUGGGCUGCCGUCUAUGGGGUUGCACAGAGUCGGACACAACUGAAGCGACUUAGCAGCAGCGGCAGCAUGUUGUAGCAUGGAUCAGUACUUCAUUCCUUUUUAGGGCUAAAUAACUUUCUAUCACAUGAAAACUUCAUUCUGCUAUUCAUUCAUCCAAUUAGUGAACAGUUUUGGCUGCGUGAAUAAUGCUACUAUGAACGUGAAAAUUUUUAUGUGGAUAUAUAUUUUCAGUUCUCUUGGGUGUGUAUCUAGGAAUGGAAUUGCAAGGUCCUGUGGUAAUUCUCAUUUCAGCUUUUUGAGGAACCUCAAAGGUAUUCUCCAGAGUAGCUAUAUGAAGGUUAUACAUCCUCUCCAGCACUUGUUACUGUGCUCAUUUUUGAUCCUAGUAAAUGUGAUAUGGUAUCUCAUUAUGCUUUUGACUUGUAUUUCCCUGAUGGCUAAUGAUAUUGAGCAUCUUUUCAUGUGUUUGUUGGUUUUUUUUUUUUUAACCAUACCAUGAAGCCUGUGGUAUCUUAGUUCCCUGACCAGGGAUUGAACCCAGGCCCCAGCAGUGAAAGCACUGAGUUCUAACCACUGGACCACCAGGGAAUUUCUGGUUGGCCAUUUGUAUAUAUUCUUUAUAGAAAUGUCUAUUCACAUCCUUUGCCCAUUUUAAUUGGGUUGGCUUUUUAUUUUUGAGUAUUAAGAAUUCUUUGUUCUGGAUGCUGGACCCUUAUCAGAUAUGUGAUUGCAUAUAUUUUUCUCUUAUUUGUGGGUUAUCUUUUCACUUUCUGGAGAGUGUCCUUUGAAGCACAAAAGCUUUUAGCUUUUUUUCCUUGGAUGCGUCAUGCAGCUUGUGGAAUCUUAGUUCUCUGACCAGAGGUUGAACCCAGGACCUUGGCAGUGAGAACAUGGAGUCCUAACCACUGGGCAGCCAGGGAAUUCUCAAAAGUUUUUAGCUUUGAAGAAGUCCAGUUUAUUUAUUUUUCUCUUUGUUUGCUAUGCUUUAGGUGUCAUAUCUAGGAAACCAUUGCUUAAUCCAAGGUUGUGAAGAUUUAUACCUAGGUUUUCUUCUAAAAGUUUUAUAGUUUUAGUGCUUAAUGUUUAAGUCUUUGAUCCAUUUUGAGUUGCUUUAAUGUGAAGUAGGGGUCCAGUUUAAUUCUUUCCAGCUGUCCCAGCACCAUUUGUUGAAAAGACUAUUCCUUCCCCCAUUGAAAUGUCUUGGCACACUUGUCAAAAUCAAUUGCCCAUGGUGCAUAAAUUUAUUUCUGGACUCUCAAUUCUAUUCCAUUGAUCUGUAUAUUUAUCUUUAUGCCAAUACCACACAGUCUUGAUUGCCAUAUUAUGUAAGUUUUUAAAUUGGGAUGUGCAAGUCUUCCAACUCUGUUUCUUUUUCAAUAGUUUUGUAGCUAUUCUGGAUCCCCAAAAUUUCCACUUGAAUUUUAGGGUCAGUUUGUCAAUUUCUGCAAAGAAGUAAGCUGGGAUUCUGAUAGGAAUUGCACUAAAUUUGUAGAUCAAUUUGGGGAGUAUUGCUAUCUUAAUGCUAUGAAGUCUGUAAUUCGUAAACAUGUGAUGUGUUUUUAUUUAGGUAUUCUUAAUUUCUUUCAACAAUGUUUUAUAGUUUUCAAUGUAUAAAUCUUGCCCAUCUUUUGUUAAGUUUAUUACUAAGUAUUUUCUUUUUCUGAUGCUAUUGUAAAUGAAAUUGUUUUAUUAAUUUCAUUUGUGGGUUUUUCUUUGCUAGUGUAUAGAAAUACAAUCAAGUUUUCUAUGAUCUUGUGACUUACAACCUUGCAGAGCUUUGUUGUAAUGGCUUUGUUGUGGGUUCCUUAAGAUUUUCUGUGUACAAGAUCAUGUUAUCUGCAAAUAGAGAUUGUAUAAUUCUUUCUUUCCAA
Dama dama (fallow deer) is the source of this 3970-nucleotide long non-coding RNA. RefSeq lists it as uncharacterized. The record is from RefSeq and is a predicted model, not a curated record. NCBI's taxonomy places the organism in Eukaryota, Metazoa, Chordata, Mammalia, Artiodactyla, Cervidae. The transcript is spliced from 6 exons.